AUCCCCAGAGAUGGGGCUUUCACUUCGGUGACCGAGAGACAGGUGCUGCAUGGCUGUCGUCAGCUCGUGUCGUGAGAUGUUCGGUUAAGUCCGGCAACGAGCGCAACCCACACUUUCAGUUGCCAUCAUUCAGUUGGGCACUCUGGAAGAACUGCCGGUGAUAAGCCGGAGGAAGGUGUGGAUGACGUCAAGUCCUCAUGGCCCUUACGGGUUGGGCUACACACGUGCUACAAUGGUGGUGACAGUGGGUUAAUCCCCAAAAGCCAUCUCAGUUCGGAUUGUCGUCUGCAACUCGACGGCAUGAAGUUGG
This 310-nucleotide ribosomal RNA is filed under the name Paracoccus sp. SH-20. RNAcentral's name for it is "bacterial SSU rRNA". It matches the Rfam family "Bacterial small subunit ribosomal RNA", at positions 996 to 1329 of the family's 1533-position model. The record is from RNAcentral. Lineage: Bacteria; Pseudomonadati; Pseudomonadota; Alphaproteobacteria; Rhodobacterales; Paracoccaceae.